Molecule: ribosomal RNA, 273 nt
Filed under: uncultured bacterium
Lineage: Bacteria
Description: partial 16S ribosomal RNA
Rfam family: Bacterial small subunit ribosomal RNA
Source: RNAcentral
UACAGAGGGUGCGAGCGUUGUCCGGAAUCACUGGGCGUAAAGGGCGCGUAGGUGGCGCCCCAAGUCCGUGGUGAAAGCUCGAUGCUCAACAUCGAGUCGGCCACGGAAACUGGGGGCUCGAGCACUGUAGAGGCAGAUGGAAUUCCGGGUGUAGCGGUGGAAUGCGUAGAGAUCCGGAAGAACACCGGUGGCGAAGGCGGCCUGCUGGCAGUAGCUGACGCUGAUGCGCGACAGCGUGGGGAGCAAACAGGAUUAGAAACCCGUGGUACGUCC